RNAcentral lists this small RNA (28 nucleotides) under Bombyx mori (domestic silkworm). RNAcentral describes it as "ovarian small RNA-26766". The record is from RNAcentral. Lineage: Eukaryota; Metazoa; Arthropoda; Insecta; Lepidoptera; Bombycidae.
UCCAGAUACGACCCGAGCAGUCGCACGU